RNAcentral lists this long non-coding RNA (546 nucleotides) under Rattus norvegicus (Norway rat). Its description in RNAcentral is "long non-coding RNA NONRATT021691". Lineage: Eukaryota; Metazoa; Chordata; Mammalia; Rodentia; Muridae. The record is from RNAcentral.
GGGAAUCCUCUGGCUCCGAGUCUUUCACAUUCUCCAGGCGCCAGCUCAUCUCCACUCUUCCAAAGUGCUCUAUCAGGAGUGGCAGUUCUAUCAGUGUUCAGAUACAGUCCUUCCUGAGAUCUCAUUCUUGUUUAUUUUUGCCUUUUCAUUUUCUAGGUACUAUUUCUCAAAGUGCAGUUUUUAGUUUCGAUGAAAUGUAUUAUGUCUGUUUUAUUAUUUUUAUCCAACCUAGGAAACCUUUUCCCAACACAAAAUCACCAAGAUUUUAUGUCUUAGAUGUACUAGGUUUUGCAUUAAGGGGUGUCAUAUAGUGUGGAGAUAAACUGUGGUUCUGUGGUUCUUUUUGGCAUAAGGCUUUCCUAUUGCUACAGCACUAGAUAUUGAAGCGAUGACUCGUGUCUGUUUCGUAUGUAUGUGUACAUUUGUUUCUGGAAUCACCUUUGUGUUGUAUUAAAAGCAUAAAGAUAUCUUUUAAAUACAUUGUUAGUUACUGUCCAAUAAUGUUUUAAAUUAGUAAUAUGAGACUUUUACAAUAAAUGUAAUGGU